GAUGAACGCUGGCGGCGUGCCUAAUACAUGCAAGUCGAGCGAACAGACGAGGAGCUUGCUCCUCUGACGUUAGCGGCGGACGGGUGAGUCACACGUGGAUAACCUACCUAUAAGACUGGGAUAACUUCGGGAAACCGGAGCUAAUACCGGAUAAUAUAUUGAACCGCAUGGUUCAAUAGUGAAAGACGGUUUUGCUGUCACUUAUAGAUGGUUCCGCGCCGCAUUAGCUAGUUGGUAAGGUAACGGCUUACCAAGGCAACGAUGCGUAGCCGACCUGAGAGGGUGAUCGGCCACACUGGAACUGAGACACGGUCCAGACUCCUACGGGAGGCAGCAGUAGGGAAUCUUCCGCAAAGGGCGAAAGCCUGACGGAGCAACGCCGCGUGAGUGAUGAAGGUCUUCGGAUCGUAAAGCUCUGUUAUUAGGGAAGAACAAAUGUGUAAGUAACUAUGCACGUCUUGACGGUACCUAAUCAGAAAGCCACGGCUAACUACGUG
This 497-nucleotide ribosomal RNA is filed under the name uncultured bacterium. Its description in RNAcentral is "partial 16S ribosomal RNA". It matches the Rfam family "Bacterial small subunit ribosomal RNA", at positions 28 to 507 of the family's 1533-position model. The record is from RNAcentral.